UGCAUAGAGAUAUAAGAAUCUUAUAUCUGUACGAUUAAGUCAGUCUUGUGCGCUUGUGAUUGUUUGUUACAUUCAUUGCUGUUUACAAAGUGAUAGUUUGUUAAAAAUGACAAGUAGUUUAUUAAACAUAGUGCAAUUUGCAAAACAAUGCGAAAGAUCUUCCAUUUCAUUUUGGCGUCAAUUUUCUGUGGCAACAAAUUUAAAACAAAUAAAUGAUAAUUCUAAGCCAAAAACAGGUGUUUUAAUGUUGAAUAUGGGUGGACCUGGUAGUCUCGAAGAGGUCCAUGAAUACUUAUUACGUAUAAUGACUGAUCGUGAUAUGAUUCAGUUACCAUUUCAAAGUCGUUUAGGUCCGUGGAUUGCAAAAUCUCGUACACCUAAGGUGCAGAAAAAAUAUGCAGAAAUUGGUGGUAAAUCUCCUAUUUUAGAGUGGACAAAUAAACAGGGUAAACUUUUGUGUGAGAAAUUGGAUAAAAUUUCACCAGAAACUGCACCCCAUAAACAUUAUGUUGCGUUUCGUUAUGCAAAUCCUCUUACUGAAAAUACGCUUCAACAAAUACAGCAAGAUGGUGUUCAGCAUACAAUAUUAUUUUCUCAAUAUCCACAAUAUUCUUGUGCUACAAGUGGAUCAAGUUUUAUCGAGAUAUAUAAAUAUUAUACAAAAAGGCAGCCUCCAAGUAAUAUGAAAUGGAGUAUAAUAGAUAGAUGGGCAAUACACCCAUUGUUUAUACGGACAAUUACUGAAAGAAUUAAAGAAGAAUUAGCUCAGUUUCCUGAAAAUAUUAGAAAUGACGUUAUAAUUUUAUUUUCUGCCCAUUCACUGCCAUUAAAGGCAGUAUGUCGGGGAGAUCCUUAUGCAUCUGAAGUGGCAAGCACAGUUGCUCUAGUAAUGGAACAAUUACAGUAUUGUAAUCCAUACAAAUUAGUAUGGCAAUCAAAGGUUGGACCUGUAUCUUGGUUGGCGCCCUUUACCGACGAUGCUAUCAAAGCUUAUGUUAAGCAGGGGAAAAAGCAUUUUAUCUUAGUACCGGUAGCAUUUGUUAAUGAACAUAUUGAAACUCUUCACGAGCUGGAUAUUGAAUAUUGUAAAGAGUUAGCGGAAGAAUGAAACAUUUAAAGGCUCUUCUCUUUUUAAUUUCCAUAUAAAAACUAACAUUAGUGAUUGAAAUUGGCAAAUUAUAAGGAUUGACUCAAUUGAAAACUAUUGAGACAAUAGUACAAGGAAAGACCCCUACUUGGAAUUGAAAGAAUAAGAAGAACUGCAGCACCAAAUGAUCAUCCCAUAUUCAUAGAAGCUUUGGCAGAUAUUGUUCAUUCACAUCUCAAAUCAAAUAAACCUAUAAGCUCUAUGUUUCUAACACGUUG
Molecule: RNA transcript, 1365 nt
Organism: Osmia lignaria (orchard mason bee)
Lineage: Eukaryota; Metazoa; Arthropoda; Insecta; Hymenoptera; Megachilidae
Gene: FeCH
Gene name: ferrochelatase, mitochondrial
Source: RefSeq, a predicted model, not a curated record